UGGGGUGUAGCUCAGUGGCAGAGCACCCACCUAGCCUGUGUGAGUCUCCAGGUUCAAUCCCUAGUACUACAA
Molecule: transfer RNA, 72 nt
Filed under: Cricetulus griseus (Chinese hamster)
Lineage: Eukaryota; Metazoa; Chordata; Mammalia; Rodentia; Cricetidae
Rfam family: tRNA
About the family: Transfer RNA (tRNA) molecules are approximately 80 nucleotides in length.
Source: Rfam by way of RNAcentral